This 380-nucleotide ribosomal RNA is filed under the name uncultured eukaryote. RNAcentral describes it as "partial 18S ribosomal RNA". It matches the Rfam family "Eukaryotic small subunit ribosomal RNA", at positions 592 to 976 of the family's 1831-position model. The record is from RNAcentral.
CAAUAGCGUAUAUUAAAGUUGUUGCGGUUAAAAAGCUCGUAGUUGGAUUUCUGCUGAGAACGACCGGUCCGCCCUUUGGGUGUGUAUCUGGCUCUUUCUUGGCAUCUUCUUGGAGAACGUUGCUGCACUUGACUGUGUGGAGCGCUACCCAGGACUUUUACUUUGAGGAAAUUAGAGUGUUUCAAGCAGGCAUACGCCUUGAAUACAUUAGCAUGGAAUAAUAAGAUAGGACCUCGGUUCUAUUUUGUUGGUUUCUAGAGCUGAGGUAAUGAUUAAUAGGGAUAGUUGGGGGCAUUCGUAUUUAACCGUCAGAGGUGAAAUUCUUGGAUUUGUUAAAGACGGACUACUGCGAAAGCAUUUGCCAAGGAUGUUUUCAUUGA